GAUGAACGCUGGCGGCGUGCCUAACACAUGCAAGUCGAGCGAACAGACAAGGAGCUUGCGCUCUUGAGGGUGGCGGCGGACGGAUGAGUAACACGUGGAUAACCUACCUAUUAUACUGGGAGGACUACGGGAAGCAACAUAUGAUACCAGAGAAUAUAUCGAACCGGAGGAAUCAAGAGUGCAUCGCGGUUUUCGCGUCACUAUGAGAUGGAUCCGCGCCGCAUUAGCUAGUUGGUAAGGUAACGGCUUACCAAGGCAACGAUGCGUAGCCGAUCUGAGAGGGUGAUCAGCCACACUGGAACUGAGACACGGUCCAGACUCCUACGGGAGGCAGCAGUGGGGAAUAUUCGGCAAUGGGCGAAAGCUUGAUCGAGCCACACCGCGUGAGUGAUGAAGGCCUUCGGGUCGUAAAGCUCUGUUGUUGGGGAAGAAAAGCUGUGUGAGUAACUCCCGCCGUCUUGACGGUACCUAAUCAAAAAGCCCCGGCUAACUACGUG
Molecule: ribosomal RNA, 497 nt
Filed under: uncultured bacterium
Lineage: Bacteria
Description: partial 16S ribosomal RNA
Rfam family: Bacterial small subunit ribosomal RNA
Source: RNAcentral